CACCGCCCGUCACACCACGGAAGCCAGCUGUACCGGAAGUCGGUGCCUCAACCCGCAAGGGAGAGAGCCGCCUAUGGUAUGACUGGUGACUGGGGUG
This 97-nucleotide ribosomal RNA is filed under the name uncultured bacterium. RNAcentral's name for it is "partial 16S ribosomal RNA". It matches the Rfam family "Bacterial small subunit ribosomal RNA", at positions 1388 to 1482 of the family's 1533-position model. The record is from RNAcentral.